Pyrgilauda ruficollis (rufous-necked snowfinch) is the source of this 1053-nucleotide long non-coding RNA. RefSeq lists it as uncharacterized. Lineage: Eukaryota; Metazoa; Chordata; Aves; Passeriformes; Passeridae. The record is from RefSeq and is a predicted model, not a curated record. The transcript has 4 exons.
CAGGAAUGGAAUUUCUCCCUUGCUGCCUUGUUCGGAUUGUCAGACCUCCCACUCUCUGGAUGUCAGAAACUGCAAGGUAGCAACAGCAGAGGAAGGCAGGGGAGGGCAGAACAGAGAGGGUCUUUUUGUUGAGCUCAUUCUGGACCUCUCAGCCUUCUAGACCCAUGCCAUUGUAGUGAGGUGAGAACAGCUUGACAUGAGCCUUCUGAAAAUCAUGCUGGAACAGCAUCCCUCAGCCUUGCUGUUCACAGGUGAUGAUCCCGAGCAAGCUGGGUGUUACAGCGCCAGAACCCUUUAUGGGCUGAUGACUGUAAACCUGAGAGGCUCAUGGGUCCACCAGUGUAUGGCAGACAGUACCACAGAGCUGUGAAAUAGAUACGACAUGUGAACAGGUACUCUCUUCAGAGCCUGCAGAAUUCUGCUGCGAAGGUCCUAGAGAGAUCACAAAGCCCAACAGCUUGAUUUGCAAAAGGAGCUGUUAUUAUUUAUCUAGUUUAAUAGACACUGCUUUAUCUGUGUUCUGGUUCCUAAAUAUCACUGGAAUCCAAGAGUUUUUCUUUAGAACAAUUAAGGCAAUCAGAAGUAUUUAUUUAAAGCAUUGAAUCACUUAAAGAAACAAGUGGAAUACUACUAAAAUAUAAAAUAAUUUUCCAGUGAAGUUUGAUAUGUCUGUAAACAUUUUAGAUGUAAUUUUCUUCUGAUUCAUUUUUGAGUCCACUGAGUAUCCAAAUAUCAAGUUUACUCUCAAUUUCCACCUGGGAAGCAAGUACUGUAAAUUGGGCUACAAGUGAAAAACUGAUUGCUUUGUGUAAUUUAAUUUAUACCAUUCUAACAUAUGUCAGAACACCACUGUGUUGUGGAGUGCAAUAAAAGGCUGACAUGUUAAUAUUCUUUUAAGAAAAUCCACACUCACUUGUCAUCUCCAGAUUUUACACGCCCAUAUUGUGUAAACAUGGGUUACAGCUGAGUAUUAGAGCCAUGCAGGGCAGGCACAAGAAUCCCUGAGGGCACCUCUGAUCUGAAUGUUAAAUUGGCUUUAUUGAAAUAUGUCUU